CUAAGCAAGAAAGAGCGUAUGGCGGAUGCCUAGGCACUAAGAGGCGAAGAAGGACGCAGCGAACGGCGAAACGCGACGGCGAGCAGUAAGCAGGCAACGACCCGUCGAUGUCCGAAUGGGGGAACCCAUCAUUCCGAGAGGGAUGAUAUCGUCUGAUGAAUAAAUAGUCAGACGAGGCGAGACGCAGGGAACUGAAACAUCUCAGUACCUGCAGGAGAAGAAAGUAAGAACGAUUCCGUGAGUAGCGGCGAGCGAAAGCGGAGGAGCCCAAACCAUCGCAAAGAUGGGGUUAUAGGGCUGCCGACAAAGUCGACUUGACAUGAUAGGAGAAGCGCAGGGGAAGGCGCAGCGAAGAGGGUGACACUCCCGUAUCCGAAAUCGUGGAGAGAGGCGAGGCAGUACCUGAGUACGUCGGGGCACGUGAAAUCCUGACGGAAUUAUCGAGGACCAUCUCGAAAGGCUAAAUACUCCUUAGUGACCGAUAGCGAACCAGUACCGUGAGGGAAAGGUGAAAAGAACCCCGGGAGGGGAGUGAAAGAGAACCUGAAACCGUAUGUCUACAAGCAGUCGGAGCGAAAGCGACGGCGUGCCUAUUGAAGAAUGAACCAACGAGUUACGUGCACUAGCGAGGUUAAGUGGAAGACACGGAGCCGAAGCGAAAGCGAGUCUUAAGAGGGCGGAUAGUUAGUGUACGUAGACCCGAAACCGCAGUGAUCUACCCAUGUCCAGGUUGAAGCGCAGGUAAAAUUGCGUGGAGGACCGAACCUGUGAGCGUUGAAAAGCUUUAGGAUGAGAUGUGGGUAGAGGUGAAAUUCCAAUCGAACGCGGAGAUAGCUGGUUCUCCCCGAAAUAGCUUUAGGGCUAGCCUCAAGUAGUAAGUAUAGGCGGUAGAGCACUGAUCGGGCUAGGGGCCAUAAAGGUUACCGAACCCUGUCAAACUCCGAAUGGUUAUACUGUAGAGCUUGGGAGUCAGACUACGAGUGAUAAGAUCCGUGGUCAAAAGGGAAACAGCCCAGACCACCAGCUAAGGUCCCCAAUGUCGUACUAAGUGGAAAAGGAUGUGGGGUCUCUAAAACAACCAGGAUGUUGGCUUAGAAGCAGCCACCAUUUAAAGAGUGCGUAAUAGCUCACUGGUCGAGAGACCCUGCGCCGAAGAUUACCGGGGCUAAAGUACGAAACCGAAGCUGUGGCUACGACGUAAGUCGUGGGGUAGGGGAGCGUUCUGUGAGGGCUGAAGUCGUUCUGUAAGGAACGGUGGACUUCACAGAAGUGAGAAUGUUGGUAUGAGUAGCGAAAAGAAUGGUGAGAAUCCAUUCCACCGAAAGCAUAAGGAUUCCUGGGCAACGAUCGUCGUCCCAGGGUAAGUCGGGACCUAAUCCGAGGCAUGGAGCGUAGGAGAUGGACAACUGGCAGAUAUUCCAGUACCGGUAAUGAUUGUUUGAGCGAUGGAGUGACACAGGAGGGCAGGCAGGCAGGAGAUUGGUUGUUCCUGUACAAGCGUGUAGGAUGGGUUGCAGGCAAAUCCGCAACCUGUGAGUCUGAGGCGUGAUGUGGAGGUUCCGGAAACGGAACCGAAGCUGCUGACCCCACACUGUCGAGAAAAGCUUCUAGUUAGAGAAUUACCGCCCGUACCGUAAACCGACACAGGUAUGCGGGGAGAGAAUCCUAAGGUGCGCGGGAGAACCCUCGUUAAGGAACUCGGCAAAAUGUACCCGUAACUUCGGGAUAAGGGUAGCCGCUGUUGUGAAGUCUGAACAGAUGGAGCAUGAGGCGGUCGCAGAGAAGAGGCCCAAGCGACUGUUUACCACAAACACAGGUGCCUGCUAAAGAGAAAUCUGACGUAUAGGUGCUGACACCUGCCCAGUGCCGGAAGGUUAAGGAAGGAUGUCCGGAGCAAUCCAAAGCAUUCGACCGAAGCCCCGGUGAACGGCGGCCGUAACUAUAACGGUCCUAAGGUAGCGAAAUUCCUUGUCGGGUAAG
This 1980-nucleotide ribosomal RNA is filed under the name human gut metagenome. RNAcentral's name for it is "bacterial LSU rRNA". It matches the Rfam family "Bacterial large subunit ribosomal RNA", at positions 1 to 1980 of the family's 2925-position model. The record is from RNAcentral.